Molecule: ribosomal RNA, 765 nt
Filed under: uncultured bacterium
Lineage: Bacteria
Description: bacterial SSU rRNA
Rfam family: Bacterial small subunit ribosomal RNA
Source: RNAcentral
UAAAGGAUGAGAAGGCGGAGAUAAAAGUUCUACCUUAAAUCUUAACGCCCAACGGUUAAGCAGGGUAGAAUACUUUAUCUCUAGAAGAUACUAGAAGCUAACGGAACGUACGGUGUAGGGGUGAAAUCCGUUGAUAUCGUACGGAACGCCGAAGGCGAAGGCAGUUAGCUAUGGUAUUCUUGACGCUGAUCCAUGAAAGCUAGGGGCGCAAACCGGAUUAGAUACCCGGGUAGUCCUAGCUGUAAACUAUGAAUGCUAACUCUGGCGAGUUCGACCCUCGCUGGGGUAAAGCUAACGCGUUAAGCAUCCCGCCUGGGGAGUACGUCGCAAGAACGAAACUCAAAGGAAUAGGCGGAAGGCUGCACAAGCGGUGGACCAUGUGGUUUAAUUCGACAGUAACCGAAAAAUCUUACCUGGGCUUGACAUAAUAGCCUCCUUUUCCGAAAGGAAAAGGAUGAUUACCAGGGUUAUUACAGGUGCUGCAUGGCCGUCGUCAGCUCGUGAUGUGAAUCGUAACCUUAAGUGGCACAACGAGCGCAACCCCUAUCCUAUGUUACAUGUGUCACAGGAGACUGCCGGGUAUAACCUGGAGGAAGGCGGGGAUGACGUCAGGUCUGCAUGGCCCUUAUGCCUGGGGAUGCAAACAUGGUACAAUGGUAGCUACAACGAGAAGCAAAGGCGUGAGCCGGAGCAAAUCUCUAAAAAGCUACCCCAGUUCGGAUUGAAGGCUGCAACUCGCCUUCAUGAAGCUGGAAUUGCUAGUAA